Ficedula albicollis (Collared flycatcher) is the source of this 380-nucleotide long non-coding RNA. RefSeq lists it as uncharacterized. The transcript is spliced from 3 exons. The record is from RefSeq and is a predicted model, not a curated record. Lineage: Eukaryota; Metazoa; Chordata; Aves; Passeriformes; Muscicapidae.
UGAUGGUGACAUUCCCUCAGUGGAUUUCAGCAGCCAUGGUGGGAGAAAAUUCCCUUUAACAACCAUGAAGAAUGCAGUGGCUCCUUCCUGCUCACAUCCCACAGAUCUUCAGUCCCAGGAUGUUUCCCUGCUCCUUACAUCCCUUGCUUCUCAGCCCAUGGAAAUUAGUGAGCCCAUACCAAAGAGGCUACAGAACAAGAUGGAAAGCAUGAAAAACUUGGUGGAAUCAUUACAGAUCACAAAACAAGAUGCCAAUAUUUACCAAAGCUAUUCCUGUUUUACUGAAAAAAACUCUCCCAAAACUGUUCUUGGUACCUGCCAAGGCAGUACCUGUGCUUUUACUAGCACACACUAGUUUUACUAGCAGUACUCACUUCUGC